ACCGGUGAGAAGAAAAGAGAAGAAAUGAAAAGAGAGAAGACAAGAGAAAAAGAGAGAGAGAGAAGAAAAAAGAAGAAAUUUGGAGGUUUUGAGAAAAGAAGAAACUUGGUGCUUGAUGGAGGGGAGGAUGGGAUGAAGCUUUCUUUGGUGUUGUUCAGGCUUGGGAGGAAGUUUCAAGUCUAGCAAGGGAACCCAGUGAGGACUUCGUCGUCUCUCUCAGCCGAUCUCUCAGUUCUCCCUCAUUGACCGCGACGGCGAUGGCCACGAUGAAGAAGAAGGUGAUGGCGAAGGCUACGGCGGUGAUGGGGAUAUUGUGUUCUCCAUUUUGGUUGUUCUACAUCCGAUGGCAGUGGUGUAGUUGGGUUAGGGAGAGGAGUAGCUAGGGUACCGCCCACCUGGACUAAGCUCACUCCUGAUCUACUUCUCUCCGAGAAUGGCCUCAGCUAUGUUCUAGGCUUCGCACCAUGGUCGUGGUCAUGAGGUUAGUGAUUUAAAGAAUUUGAUUAAGCUGUAUGUUGAAUGCCACUCCCGAUUGAUCCCGUACUACUCUUUGAUCAUUUU
Long non-coding RNA from Dioscorea cayenensis subsp. rotundata (Guinea yam), 561 nucleotides. RefSeq lists it as uncharacterized. The transcript has 5 exons. NCBI's taxonomy places the organism in Eukaryota, Viridiplantae, Streptophyta, Magnoliopsida, Dioscoreales, Dioscoreaceae. The record is from RefSeq and is a predicted model, not a curated record.